UGUGGCUUCCCAUGUCCUGCCUCAUGGUGCUCCAGCCUGUAAGUCACAGUGCUAAGAAGUGACAGAAGUGACCACAGACCAACACCUCUAAAGCAGAAGGCCAAGUAUGUCAAGUUGACAGCUGACACCAACUAUGACAGAUCAUUUGGAAAGAGGGAGACCAACAGAAGAGGAAGAAGUGAAGGUCUUUGAGAUGAUUAUAUUUAUUGAGACCUAUUCCAUACAUUGACAAAGGAAGAAUUGCAUGUCAUUUUUAAAUGGACCAUCAAGCUUGAUCUGAAGACUGGACACCAGGGUGCUGCUGCAUCAUUGAAGACUUCC
This 321-nucleotide long non-coding RNA is filed under the name Cricetulus griseus (Chinese hamster). Its description in RNAcentral is "lncRNA (ENSCGRG00015034651.1)". The record is from RNAcentral. Lineage: Eukaryota; Metazoa; Chordata; Mammalia; Rodentia; Cricetidae.